Molecule: long non-coding RNA, 4248 nt
Filed under: Marmota monax (woodchuck)
Lineage: Eukaryota; Metazoa; Chordata; Mammalia; Rodentia; Sciuridae
Source: RNAcentral
CAGCGAUUUUCCCGGGAGCUUACAGGGCAUUGGCGGCAGUUUCACUGCUUGAGUGACUCGUGAUUUUGUGCCCAGCCAGACUGCGGCAGGUGAAGAUUCUGAAUUUCUUCUGAAGACCCGUGGGAGGUCCCCUGAACGUUGUCAGCAAGGGGACAGUGACCAAAUGAGCACUUUUUAAAAGUUUGUUCGGGCAGCUCUUUGGAACACUGAUUGGCGGCAGGCAAGAGCAGAAUGGGGAGAUUAGUUGCAUCUAAAAGGCGAGGGCUGAGAAGGUCUAUGUGAAGCAGAGAGUCCAGGGAGGGAGUGACUGCAGGUGGAGUGGCAGCAGGGACUCUUGGCACCCCACCUGUGCCCAGCUGCCACAGAGCCCAGCCCUGUUGAGCUGGAGGAGGAUGCAGCACAGCGUGUCCUGGAGGAGGGACGGGGUUCCAGACUUGGUUUGGGACAUAUUGUACUUACAUUUUUAAAAUUCACAUAUAGUAAAGUUCAGGAAUCUUGGCAAAUGCCUAGAUUCUCAUAACCAUCACGACAAUGGGGACACAUCAUAAUUUCAUCUCGCCCCAAAUUCCUCUGUAGUCGCAUCUUCCCCUUAUUCCUAAAACUGUCAAUCACUGCGGCAGUCUCAGCCUCUAUAUUUUCACCUUUUCAGGAAUGUUCUAUAAGUGAAAACAUAUGGCAUAUAAUCUUCGGGAUCUUGCUUCUUUCACUUAGCAGAGUGCAUCUGAGAGCCAUCUGUGCUGUGGGCCCUUUCUGACUGUUACUGAGUAAUGUGACAUCACCUGGGGUGUGCCACUCAGCCGCUCAAGGACACUUGGGUUGCUUCCACUUUUCAGUAUUGAUGAAUAAUGCUGCUGUAAAGUUCUACAUGUAGCCUUAAAAAAAAAAAAAAAACAGUACCGUGUAUGAUCCAGGAGUAAUCUACCACUGGUAAUCUACCAGCCCUGUUUUAUUUUUUAUUUUGAGACAGGGUCUUGCUAAGUCUCCGGGGCAGGUCUUGAACUUGUGAUUCUCUUUCCUCAGCCUCCCAAAUCACUUGGAUUACAGGUGUGCACCACUGCAUCCGGCCACAUACAGGCUUUUAAUAUGAAUACAGGUUUUCACACCUUUAGCAUAAAUACCUAGAUCAGGGUGCUGGCUUGUCAAAGUUUAUGGUUAAUGAUAAAUAGAACAAUUCAGCUAUUUUCCAAAAUGUCUGUGUCACUUUGUACACCUGCCAGCAGGUAUGAGGUUUAGUUGCCCUGCAUCUUCACUUCUAAUAUAUGUUGUUGGGUUUUCAGGUUUUGCUGUUGUUUAUUAAAUUUUGGUCAUUGAGGUAGGUCAGUGGUGCGGCUUUAACACUGUUGAGCAUCUUUUCGUGCACCCACUUGACAGGCAGAUCUUCUUUGCUGAAGCAUCUGCCUAAUUGUUAAUGGGGAUGGGACAUAGCUCAGUUGGCAGAGUGCUUACCUCGCAUGCACAAGGAAGGCCCUGGGUUCAGUCUGGGGCUGGAUCUUGUGGCGCUCCAGCACUCCAGGGGGAAUGGUGAGCCUGGGAAGGGUGCUGGGGACAAGCAAUCCUGGGAGGCAGAGGGAAACCCAAAGAGGGGGAGGGCACCAAGCCCCAGGAGCAUGCCCCAAACAGAAGGCGGACAGCAGGGUUAAGCUUUAAGAGAUUUUAAGAGAGAAAACUGUAACUGGUGAGAGGUCCCAUAAGAGGGCUGCUUGGUUUACCAACACGGAGGUCAUCAGUAAGCUUGUGACUUUGUCAGUGGCCCUAAAUGGGUAGAUGGAUCCGGACAUGCUGGGGGUGGGGGCUGGGAGUCAGGAAACAGAGUCAGCAGUGGUCUCGUUUGGAAUUUGGACUUAAAGAGGAAACAGGACUGUCAUUGCACGUACAGGGAAGGAAACUGCACUGAAGCUUUGCCUGAACCUGCGGAUUUCUAAAUUAAGAUGACUCUUUUCAGGCCCUCCUCCACUCAACAAGCCCAGGGUCCUGCUGUGUACACGCUCUGCCUGCGGAGGAGAAACCCUGAGUGUGACCAAGGCCCCAGCCGACAAGCAGCUUGCAGAACAGAGAGCGCUGCCUUCCACCCCGGAGUCCACGGGGGUCUUGCUAGGACAUUCUUCUUCUGUGGAAGUUGUAAAUUUUACUUUGGGCUCUCCUCAUUUUGAGGUAAUAAAAUCCUGAGCCUGGAAGGGAACGGGGAGAUCAUCCUUCACCUCACGGAUGUAAAAAGUUGAAUCCUGGAGAGACGCAGGACACACAUCCAGUAAGGGGAAGAUUCAGGGGCAAAGCUCUUAUCUUCUGCUUCCCGGUUCGGGGAAUUUUCCACUACCUCGCGCCAGAUUGCAUACAUGAGAGUCGAUUCUGCGUCUCUAAGUUCAUAUAGCUUAACCAUUCCUUUAAAUGGCUGUGUUAAUGACUUCCAUGAGUCAGUGCUUAUUUUCCAUAUUCUGCCAAUUAAUUGUGGUUUGGGGGGUGAUCUGUUCCAAAUCCCUGGAUUAUAAAGUGUGGCGUCAGCUAUUUUUUGAAGGUAAUUCAUUCCAAAGCUUGGACCAAUUAUAGCUAAUAUAGUUGAAUUUGUCUUUAAACAUCCUCGAAUCAAAACCCAAUAGUCCUAUUUGUUUCCCCCCUAGCAUGGCUACCAGGAGGCAUUGUGAAUUCCCCAGGACCCCGUCCCCCCUCCCCACAGGACCUGGGGAAGCAGAUACCCUGAGGAUCCGUGAAAGUCAGCUUGGAAGUACCACUGUCACCUGGAAGAUGACUGGCUGGAGCAGUCUGUUUGGAGGUGUUUGCUUUUCUUUGUUAUUGUGGCCAGAAAUAAUAGUAAGAAGGACUUAAUGUUAUUUCUAACUCCGAGAGUCCCCUUUCCCUCUCCCCAGGCAAUCUAGAUUGGGCUCCUACCAUCUGGAAAAUAUAAGUUUUGUUUGGAAACUAGGAACAUCUUCUACCGCAUCUAAAACUGGUUACUUUCCCCACCAAGCAGCAUAUCAAAGACAGGGAUAAAAAUAUCCAUUGUAUGAGACAGCCAUUUUUAUAUCCAUGGCUUUUGGCUCUCAGAUUGAUCUUUGGUGGCCUCUGCCAUCCAGUCUAAUCAGCCUAAUCUCUUGAGGGGCAAAGAUGAGGAGUGCACCGCUCCGUCGAGCAGCCCGGCUCUGGGCAAGCGAUCUCAUUGUCAUAUAUUAGAAUUGAGAAGUGCAGGGGAGGCAAACAUAAUAUUCCCUCUACCCUUGUAACUUCUUUUCUGGGACCCUUAAACAAAAUACAGAUUGACAAGAGAAAAUCAAGUGUAUUAAAAUGUAUGUUUCAUGUGUACAUGAAAGAAAACCAAGGGAAAGAGUAACUACCAAAGAUGUCAUCUGCAAAUUCUUGCUUAUUAGUCUCUUCAACAGUAAACGAUGCAUUUUUAAUUAAUUUAUUAAUUUAUUCUAAUUAGGUAUAUAUGGCAGCAGAAUGCAUUUUGAUUCAUUGUACAAACUGCAGCACAACUUUUCAUUUCUCUGGUUGUACAUGACGUAGCCUCGCACCACAUGUUCAGUCAUACAUGUACCGGGCCAUGCAUUUUCAGACAAAUGAUGAACAAAGGAAUCGGACUGUGAGUCUCUAUGAGCGGCAAAGUGUGGGAAGGCAAAGGUGUGGGGAACUCACUGUAGGUAGAGACUUGACAGUCGAGAUUGGCACAUAGAUUCCCCUGGCCUAGUCCUGGCUAAUACGGGUCUCAAGCCAUCUCUGGGGAUGGACUUAAUCCUUCCUGAUGGAGAGGGGAGGAGGGACAAGGUUUUGUUCUACUUUUAGACAUACAGAGGGAGGGUAGGGAGGUUUUCUUGUAUCUGUUUCUUCUAAAUUGCUUCCAGCUCAAAAUAAUCCUCAUGCCAAAGUGACAAAUGUGGCUUUUUCUGCUGUCUUUGAAAGACUUUCUGAGCUCACAUGGUUUGAUAUUACAGACAAGAAAACCAGGCUUAGGGAAAGAAACCUCUUGCAUGCUCUCCAUUUGUAAGAGGACCUGCUCCGUCAUUUCCACCUUUGACAGUCCCUGCUCUGAAAGUCCCUUCCGGGUGGCUGUGGACAAGCAGCCCAAAAGCAUCACUUGGAGCUCCUGGAGAGGGCAGAUCUGGGCCCCAGUGGGAAUCUGCAUCUGAAGGCCUCCUCCAGGUGACUGCCUGGGCCUCGGGGCUUUAGAAAUCGCACUGAUAUUGGCCUAAGGCAUUUUGUGACUUGUCUCUCCUUGGUCUGCAGGUGUCACCAGAGAGCUGACAGUGAUCUUGUGAA